GACGAGCUGGAUCCCGGCGUUGGAACGGGAAGUGGGGGAGGGGAGACAAGCUCAAGGAAGACCCGGAGCGGAUUUUGCCCGUAGCGAAGUAACGGAAAGGCGCCGAGCCCGGUGAGGGGAGAAAUGGGAGAGAUCUGGAAGGGGUAUGCAAAACCCGGGUUGGAUUAGAUAGAGAUGGGAGGAACGAAGGGAGCUGCGACAGGGCCAAAUGCACCCGGGGCACGCAAAUUUCGGGCCGGAUUCUUCCUCGGGAGACGGAGUAAUGCGUCAUGCCUAAUGCAGUGGGAACAAGCAAGACCUGGCCUAGAGUUCCCAGACCUGGGCUCGCAGGGGGCUCCAGGAGGGGGCUGCUUAGCGGCUGAGGCGCGUGGGCCGUCUUCCUGGCAGCUACGUGCAAGAAGGAGGGGCAAAAGGAGGGAUGGACUCGAACACGAAAGGAUCCGGAGCGCUGGCUGCACCGAAGCGGGCAGGCCCUGUUUUGGAAGCUGAGGGUAUGAUGGUGAAUAAGAGACACAAAGUCGCUGUCCUCCUGGAGCUUGCACUUUAUUGGGGAGGCUGGUGAUUCACUAGUAACAAGAAGAAAAUUUCAGAACGUGAACAAUCCUAUGAAGGAAAAAGCAGUGAAGAAUCGUGAGAUGGGAUGUGGAUGUCAUCAACCAAGGAUCUUGAGAUGAUAGAUAUUGGAUCUAGGCUGGGCUCUAAAUCCAACGAUAGGUGUCCUUCUAAGAGGAGGAGAGGACACACGGAGAAGAAGAUGGAGGCAGAGAUGGGAGCGAUGCAGCUACAAGCCGACGAAAGCCAAGGAUGGCUCACAGCCACCAGAAGCCAGGAGAGAGGCAAGGAAGGAUUCUCCCCUGCAGCCUUCAGAGGGAGCACGGCCCUGCCCACACCUUGAUGUUGGACUUCCGGCCUCCAGAACUGUGAGACAAUAUACUUCUGUUGUCUUAAGCCACCACGUGUGUGGUAAUUUAUUACAGGAGCCCUAGGAAAUGAACGCAGUUGUGUUCUCCAGAAUGAGCUCUGAGACACCUCGAUUCCAAUGCAAGUGAUUUACCUGGAAGGCAACCGCAGGAAGCACCGGCA
Aethalodelphis obliquidens (Pacific white-sided dolphin) is the source of this 1083-nucleotide long non-coding RNA. RefSeq lists it as uncharacterized. The record is from RefSeq and is a predicted model, not a curated record. The transcript has 3 exons. NCBI's taxonomy places the organism in Eukaryota, Metazoa, Chordata, Mammalia, Artiodactyla, Delphinidae.